UUAACUAUUAUAUAGUACUCAGACGACACUGUAAUUCAGAGUUUGGGGUUCUCUGGCGGGCACGCACCAGCCGAAGCCGAUAGCCCGAAGGCGGCCCGCCAAAGCAACAAAGGUAUGUAUAACAUAGGGUGGGAGGUCUACCCGUGAGGGCAUGAACUCUGUAAUGAUCCUUCCGCAGGUUCACCUACGGAAA
Molecule: unclassified non-coding RNA, 193 nt
Filed under: uncultured fungus
Lineage: Eukaryota; Fungi
Description: sequence contains ITS1
Source: RNAcentral